RNAcentral lists this ribosomal RNA (253 nucleotides) under uncultured Hyphomicrobium sp. RNAcentral's name for it is "partial 16S ribosomal RNA". It matches the Rfam family "Bacterial small subunit ribosomal RNA", at positions 524 to 776 of the family's 1533-position model. The record is from RNAcentral. Lineage: Bacteria; Pseudomonadati; Pseudomonadota; Alphaproteobacteria; Hyphomicrobiales; Hyphomicrobiaceae.
UACGAAGGGGACUAGCGUUGUUCGGAAUCACUGGGCGUAAAGCGCACGUAGGCGGAUUUGUAAGUCAGGGGUGAAAUCCCGGGGCUCAACCUCGGAACUGCCUUUGAUACUGCGGAUCUUGAGUUCGAUAGAGGUGGGUGGAAUUCCUAGUGUAGAGGUGAAAUUCGUAGAUAUUAGGAAGAACACCAGUGGCGAAGGCGGCCCACUGGAUCGACACUGACGCUGAGGUGCGAAAGCGUGGGGAGCAAACAGG